AUCUGUUGUUCCGGCCAAAAUAAUGCGGAAGAUGAAGAAGCGCAGAUUUUGUUUCGAAGUUGUCACCCGACCGCCGGGGCCCAUGACUCAGAAGUCACAUUGCUGUAAAAUUGCUUAGGAAGCGACUGAAAGAAGU
Non-coding RNA from Caenorhabditis elegans, 136 nucleotides. NCBI's taxonomy places the organism in Eukaryota, Metazoa, Nematoda, Chromadorea, Rhabditida, Rhabditidae. The record is from Ensembl.